This 500-nucleotide ribosomal RNA is filed under the name uncultured Glomeromycotina. Its description in RNAcentral is "partial small subunit ribosomal RNA". It matches the Rfam family "Eukaryotic small subunit ribosomal RNA", at positions 591 to 1092 of the family's 1831-position model. The record is from RNAcentral. Lineage: Eukaryota; Fungi; Glomeromycota.
CCAAUAGCGUAUAUUAAAGUUGUUGCAGUUAAAAAGCUCGUAGUUGAAUUUCGGGAUCAAUAUGUCGGUCGUGCCUCCGGUACGUACUGGCGUUAUUGGUUUCUCCCUUCUGACGAACCACGAUGUCAUUAAUUUGGUGUUAUGGGGAAUCAGGACUGUUACUUUGAAAAAAUUAGAGUGUUUAAAGCAGGCUCACGCCUGAAUACAUUAGCAUGGAAUAAUGAAAUAGGACGUUUGAUUCUACUUUGUUGGUUUCUAGGAUCGACGUAAUGAUUAAUAGGGAUAGUUGGGGGCAUUAGUAUUCAAUUGUCAGAGGUGAAAUUCUUGGAUUUAUUGAAGACUAACUACUGCGAAAGCAUUUGCCAAGGAUGUUUUCAUUAAUCAAGAACGAAAGUUAGGGGAUCGAAGACGAUCAGAUACCGUCGUAGUCUUAACCAUAAACUAUGCCGACUAGGGAUCGGAUGAUGUUAAUUUUUUAAUGACUCAUUCGGCGCCUUACG